RNAcentral lists this ribosomal RNA (406 nucleotides) under Klebsiella quasipneumoniae. RNAcentral describes it as "bacterial SSU rRNA". It matches the Rfam family "Bacterial small subunit ribosomal RNA", at positions 562 to 968 of the family's 1533-position model. Lineage: Bacteria; Pseudomonadati; Pseudomonadota; Gammaproteobacteria; Enterobacterales; Enterobacteriaceae. The record is from RNAcentral.
AAAGCGCACGCAGGCGGUCUGUCAAGUCGGAUGUGAAAUCCCCGGGCUCAACCUGGGAACUGCAUUCGAAACUGGCAGGCUAGAGUCUUGUAGAGGGGGGUAGAAUUCCAGGUGUAGCGGUGAAAUGCGUAGAGAUCUGGAGGAAUACCGGUGGCGAAGGCGGCCCCCUGGACAAAGACUGACGCUCAGGUGCGAAAGCGUGGGGAGCAAACAGGAUUAGAUACCCUGGUAGUCCACGCCGUAAACGAUGUCGAUUUGGAGGUUGUGCCCUUGAGGCGUGCUUCCGGAGCUAACGCGUUAAAUCGACCGCCUGGGGAGUACGGCCGCAAGGUUAAAACUCAAAUGAAUUGACGGGGGCCCGCACAAGCGGUGGAGCAUGUGGUUUAAUUCGAUGCAACGCGAAGAA